This 443-nucleotide long non-coding RNA is filed under the name Homo sapiens (human). RNAcentral describes it as "non-protein coding lnc-SLC10A7-3:1". Lineage: Eukaryota; Metazoa; Chordata; Mammalia; Primates; Hominidae. The record is from RNAcentral.
CACAGGGUGAUUGAAUACUGAAUGCAAAACUUGUUCUGAAUGUUAGAAAUCACCAAGAAUUUCAAAUCCAUAUGUUAAACUUUCAAAAAGUGGUUUAAGAGAUGCUUUUGGGGUAUAUCCUCCAUGUUGUGCACUUGAAACAUUACUAUGUUGCAUUGCCAUAGCAGGGGGAUUUAAAUGUGAGAAUUGAGUGAGGUAGGUGCAGUCAUUGUCCCCCCCUCUGCCUUAAGCCAUCAAACCUGUUAUUUUGUGUGUUAUUUUUUUCUAGACCAAAGUUUAGAACUUGUGUGGAGUCAGCCUAUAAAUAUUAAUGCACCAUACCUGAAAAAGGAAUAAGAUACAGAUUGAAAAGAAGAGGCUUUCUGGUGAAGUCUAAGAGUUUAGAGGAUCCACAGUGGAAGCUGUAUCUCAAAACUCAGAACGUUUGGAAGAACUCAGUAGGU